This 468-nucleotide ribosomal RNA is filed under the name uncultured bacterium. Its description in RNAcentral is "partial 16S ribosomal RNA". It matches the Rfam family "Bacterial small subunit ribosomal RNA", at positions 28 to 507 of the family's 1533-position model. The record is from RNAcentral.
GACGAACGCUGGCGGCGUGCUUAACACAUGCAAGUCGAACGGAAAGGCCCUGCUUUUGUGGGGUGCUCGAGUGGCGAACGGGUGAGUAACACGUGAGUAACCUGCCCUUGACUUUGGGAUAACUUCAGGAAACUGGGGCUAAUACCGGAUAGGAGCUCCUGCUGCAUGGUGGGGGUUGGAAAGUUUCGGCGGUUGGGGAUGGACUCGCGGCUUAUCAGCUUGUUGGUGGGGUAGUGGCUUACCAAGGCUUUGACGGGUAGCCGGCCUGAGAGGGGGACCGGGCCCCAUGGGACCAGGGAACCGGCCAGCACCCCAAGGGGGGGAAGAGGGGGGAAAUUUUUAAAAAGGGGGGGAGCCCGUGGACGGAAACCCCCGGGCGGGAAGGACGCCCUUGGGGUUGAAAACGCCUUUGCCUGGGACGAAGGGGGAGGGACGGUAAUUGGUAAAGAAGCCACGGGUAACUUCGUG